Long non-coding RNA from Mobula hypostoma (lesser devil ray), 556 nucleotides. RefSeq lists it as uncharacterized. The record is from RefSeq and is a predicted model, not a curated record. NCBI's taxonomy places the organism in Eukaryota, Metazoa, Chordata, Chondrichthyes, Myliobatiformes, Myliobatidae. The transcript is spliced from 3 exons.
CCUCACUGUACUUAGAAGGAUUAAGACAUUUGGCUCAAUUUCAAGUGAAAUUCCUGAGCAGGAGGCUUAGUCCUAUUCCCAAUGGCAGACUCAUCCAUCAUUACAGUCGUGGUACUUCCUGCACUGAGCAUCAAGAGCUGAGGAGAUACCUGAUGGAUGUUUAUAAUAUCAUGGGAGGCAGAGAUAAGAGCCACACACAUGCUCCCCAGGAAUGACGUGGAGACAGACAGGGAGAUCAGCUGCCAGCUUUCGCCACUGCCUUCGCAGGAAGGUGCAAAGCAGUAACCCUGAAAAGGACUUAAUUAGUCCGGGAAAGUAGGAAGCUCUCAUGAUUGUAACAGCAGCUGCAACCAGUAAAUGACGACCACUGACGCAUUCGAUGUUACCACACAACUAAAGCCACCUGUUCCUUUCCCUCUUCUCUAUUAAAUAAAACACGAUGCUUCAUUUAAUCAAUAACGGAAACUAAGCAAUAUUAUGGAUGAUUAGAAUUUGCAUUACCUUAAAGGUGAAGUACUUAAACUAAAAAUAUCACUGUUGCUAUAUUUUACUUUAA